AACGAACGCUGGCGGCAGGCCUCAUACAUGCAAGUCUAACGGGUGUAGCAAUACAUCAGUGGCGCACGGGUGAGUAACGAGUGGGAAUAUGGCCUUGACUACGGAACAACCACGGGACACUGAGGCGAAUACAGUAUAAUGUCACAGGACCAAAGAUUUAUCGGGCAAGGAUUAGCCCGCGUCUGAUUAGGUAGUUGGUGUGGUAACGGCUCACCAAGACUACGAUCAGUAGCUGGUCUGAGAGGAUGAUCAGCCACACUGGGACGGAGACACGGCCCAGACUCCUACGGGAGGCAGCAAUAAGGAAUAGUGGACAAUGGGGUAAACCCUGAUCCAGCCAUGCCGCGUGAGUGAAGAAGGCCUUCGGGUUGUAAAGCUCUUUUACCCCUGACGAUAAUGACGGUAAGGGGAGAAAAAGCCACGGCUAACUUCGUGCCAGCAGCCGCAGUAA
This 451-nucleotide ribosomal RNA is filed under the name uncultured bacterium. Its description in RNAcentral is "partial 16S ribosomal RNA". It matches the Rfam family "Bacterial small subunit ribosomal RNA", at positions 29 to 523 of the family's 1533-position model. The record is from RNAcentral.